AGUUAUUUAUCUUUUAGGAAAGUAAGUGUUUUGAAAGCACUCAAAAAGAGUUCGAAUCUCUUAAUAACUU
This 70-nucleotide transfer RNA is filed under the name Typhlatya mitchelli. RNAcentral describes it as "tRNA-Ser". It matches the Rfam family "tRNA". From Rfam's summary of the family: Transfer RNA (tRNA) molecules are approximately 80 nucleotides in length. Their secondary structure includes four short double-helical elements and three loops (D, anti-codon, and T loops). Lineage: Eukaryota; Metazoa; Arthropoda; Malacostraca; Decapoda; Atyidae. The record is from RNAcentral.